RNAcentral lists this ribosomal RNA (253 nucleotides) under uncultured bacterium. RNAcentral describes it as "partial 16S ribosomal RNA". It matches the Rfam family "Bacterial small subunit ribosomal RNA", at positions 524 to 776 of the family's 1533-position model. The record is from RNAcentral.
UACGUAGGGUGCAAGCGUUGUCCGGAAUUAUUGGGCGUAAAGAGCUCGUAGGCGGUCUGUUACGUCGGCUGUGAAAACCUGGGGCUCAACCCCGGGCCUGCAGCCGAUACGGGCAAACUAGAAUUCGGUAGGGGAGACUGGAAUUCCUGGUGUAGCGGUGAAAUGCGCAGAUAUCAGGAGGAACACCGGUGGCGAAGGCGGGUCUCUGGGCCGAUAUUGACGCUGAGGAGCGAAAGCGUGGGGAGCGAACAGG